GGGGAGGUUGCUGCUGGGAGAUAAUUUUUAGGUCCAGGAAGCGCUCGGAAGCAGUCAAUAUAGCAGUAAGCAUCUUCCAGCACCCUGUUAUGGAGAGAAGAGUAUUGGGGUUUAUGGUGAGAACUGUAUCGCAUUGUGGAGCACUAACCAGUUUUUACUGCGGAAGACGACAAGCUUCAUUCUGUGUGUGAUGGGCGGUUGGGAACCAUACCCUUCAAUAUGAAAACUUGCCAGCUUCUAAGUGUUCCACACAGAGGUCAGCACCUUCACUGUCUCCAGCUCAAUCUCUAGGUACACCUACCUAUAUAUGCAAAAAUCAAUUGAGUGAAACCACUAGUUUGAUUAUCCAUUAGAUGCAUUCUUGAUCAAACAUUAGAGCAGUAGUACCCGUGUGAUUUACAAUAUGGGUAUUUUUA
This is a long non-coding RNA of Dreissena polymorpha, 416 nucleotides long. RefSeq lists it as uncharacterized. NCBI's taxonomy places the organism in Eukaryota, Metazoa, Mollusca, Bivalvia, Myida, Dreissenidae. The record is from RefSeq and is a predicted model, not a curated record. The transcript has 2 exons.